RNAcentral lists this unclassified non-coding RNA (268 nucleotides) under Hevea brasiliensis (rubber tree). The record is from RNAcentral. Lineage: Eukaryota; Viridiplantae; Streptophyta; Magnoliopsida; Malpighiales; Euphorbiaceae.
GUUUUUUGCAGGGGAAGCCUCAUAAACAUCUACAAGUUGAAGAUAGCAAGCCCUUUAAUAUCUCUUUGAUUUUCAUAUUUUCAAAUUGGUAAUUCCUAGAUUUUUUUUUUAAAAAAGUACUCAUAUGUUUGAAGGCUCUUCAUGCUAUCUUUAAAAUUCAUAUAAUGUACUUAAGUCACUUCAAUUUUUCUUUUGACUGAGCAUUUCUUGACGUGAAAUUAAGGUGUGCUCCAGAGCACAAACUGAAAUCCAAAGAGUGACAAAGUGC